GACGAACGCUGGCGGCGUGCUUAACACAUGCAAGUCGAACGGAAAGGCCCUGCUUUUGUGGGGUGCUCGAGUGGCGAACAGGUGAGUAACACGUGAGUAACCUGCCCUUGACUUUGGGAUAACUUCAGGAAACUGGGGCUAAUACCGGAUAGGAGCUCCUGCUGCAUGGUGGGGGUUGGAAAGUUUCGGCGGUUGGGGAUGGACUCGCGGCUUAUCAGCUUGUUGGUGGGGUAGUGGCUUACCAAGGCUUUGACGGGUAGCCGGCCUGAGAGGGUGACCGGCCACAUUGGGACUGAGAUACGGCGCAGACUCCUACGGGAGGCAGCAGUGGGGAAUAUUGCACAAUGGGCGGAAGCCUGAUGCAGCAACGCCGCGUGCGGGAUGACGGCCUUCGGGUUGUAAACCGCUUUCGCCUGUGACGAAGCGUGAGUGACGGUAAUGGGUAAAGAAGCACCGGCUAACUACGUG
This 468-nucleotide ribosomal RNA is filed under the name uncultured bacterium. RNAcentral's name for it is "partial 16S ribosomal RNA". It matches the Rfam family "Bacterial small subunit ribosomal RNA", at positions 28 to 507 of the family's 1533-position model. The record is from RNAcentral.